GGACGAACGCUGGCGGCGUGCCUAACACAUGCAAGUCGAGCGAGGAGAUUCCUUCGGGAUGAUCCUAGCGGCGGACGGGUGAGUAACACGUGGGCAACCUGCCUCAUAGAGAGGAAUAGCCUUCCGAAAGGGAGAUUAAUACCUCAUAACAUUGCAGUUUCGCAUGGAACAGCAAUUAAAGGAGCAAUCCGCUAUGAGAUGGGCCCGCGGCGCAUUAGCUAGUUGGUGAGGUAACGGCUCACCAAGGCGACGAUGCGUAGCCGACCUGAGAGGGUGAUCGGCCACAUUGGGACUGAGACACGGCCCAGACUCCUACGGGAGGCAGCAGUGGGGAAUAUUGCACAAUGGGGGAAACCCUGAUGCAGCCAACGCCGCGUGAGUGAUGACGGCCUUCGGGUUGUAAAGCUCUGUCUUCAGGGACGAUAAUGACGGUACCUGAGGAGGAAGCCACGGCUAACUACGUGCCAGCAGCAGC
This 475-nucleotide ribosomal RNA is filed under the name uncultured bacterium. RNAcentral's name for it is "bacterial SSU rRNA". It matches the Rfam family "Bacterial small subunit ribosomal RNA", at positions 27 to 518 of the family's 1533-position model. The record is from RNAcentral.